GGUAAUGAUGGCAGAGAGGUCACACCCGUUCCCAUACCGAACACGGAAGUUAAGCUCUCUAGCGCCGAUGGUAGUUGGG
RNAcentral lists this ribosomal RNA (79 nucleotides) under Bacillus thuringiensis. Lineage: Bacteria; Bacillati; Bacillota; Bacilli; Caryophanales; Bacillaceae. RNAcentral also lists the same sequence under 1 other name. The record is from RNAcentral.